CUGAGUUGCAAAACUCCAAACCAUUGUGUUCCUGAACUACCUGUUGCCUCGGCAGGCUGCCCCAGGGCGGGGCGCCUACACGGCCUGCCGAAAGCACCAUAAAAAACUCUUUCUGAAACACGUCUUCUGAAGCAUUAAGAAAUAAUCA
RNAcentral lists this unclassified non-coding RNA (148 nucleotides) under uncultured Ascomycota. RNAcentral's name for it is "sequence contains ITS1". Lineage: Eukaryota; Fungi; Ascomycota. The record is from RNAcentral.